This 72-nucleotide transfer RNA is filed under the name Marmota monax (woodchuck). RNAcentral describes it as "tRNA.Asp". The record is from RNAcentral. Lineage: Eukaryota; Metazoa; Chordata; Mammalia; Rodentia; Sciuridae.
CAGGGUGUAGCUCAGUGUUAGAGUGCACUCCUAUCAAGUGUGAAGUCUUUAGUUCAAAUGAUGGCAAUUAAA